GCACUAGUAACAGAACCAUCCAAUGAUUUUAUCAAAACCUUGGAAGAAAAAAUCCCUGGUGUAAAUACAGGGCAGUGCAGUGCCAACAAAAUACCACUUCCUGACAAUUCUGUUAAAGCCAUAAUUGCAGCCCAGUGCUUUCACUGGUUUGCAAACGAAGAGAACAUUUCCGAAAUUGACCGAGUAUUGAAACCAGGAGAAAUUUUCAUUCUAGUUUGGAACGUUUUAGAUGACAGCUUAGUUUUAGAUGCGGAUUUCCAAAAAUUCUUUUUAAAAUGGAUAAAGGACUCAACCCAGUAUUAUGACAUGAGAUGGAAAAAAAAUUCUUGACAAUUGUGACCAGGUCCGGUAGGUUUCAAGAAAAGUGUUUGAUGGCAACAAUUUAAGCGGUUCCAUUGAUCAUUUAGUGCGUUUAAGGACUACUUUCAGUUGUAUACAAAGCCUUGAGGAUGUUCAAAAAGAGAAAGCAUGCAGUGAAAUACGAGGUUUCUAUGAAAACCACCCUGAGGGAAAUGGGAAGGAAUUCCUCACUCAUCCCAUGAAAACAGACGUUUU
Saccostrea echinata is the source of this 555-nucleotide long non-coding RNA. RefSeq lists it as uncharacterized. Lineage: Eukaryota; Metazoa; Mollusca; Bivalvia; Ostreida; Ostreidae. The transcript has 4 exons. The record is from RefSeq and is a predicted model, not a curated record.